AUGGCUGACACCGAGGCUAUCCCCCAACACACGCCGCCCCGCCCCCGCGCCGCGCGCCAGCCAAUCACAAACAAUGGAGGGAAGGCUCGGCCCCGCCCCCGGCCCCCGCUCGCGCCCCGCCCCCGCCCCUCCCCCCGCGCGCCCGUUCGCUGGCGCGCGCUCGCCCCUCCCCCGCGCGCCGCCCGCUCCCUCCCCCCCGGCCGCCUCGCGCCGAGUGUGUACAAACACAAAAGACGUGCCGGAGGGCCGACGGCUCCCGCCGCGACGGCCGCCCGCCCGCCCGCCUGCCAGCCCGCCCGCGCACCCCCGGCCGGGCUCCAGCGUCCGGCCCGCUGCCCCCCCCAGCCCCCCCGCGCCCACGUCAUCCCGCCCGGAGCCCGGGGUCGGGGCGCCCAGGGCGGUGGGGGAGGGGCGGCGGCCCGGGCGCGGCCGGUGAACGCCUGGCCUGCGGGCGGCGGCGGGGGAGGGAUGGGGUGGGGAGCGGGGGCGGCCCGGGCGGCGGCGGCGGCGGCGGCGGCGGCGGGGGUUGGGGGGUGCGGGCCCGAGGCCGCGGCCGGCCGGGGGCGGCCCCGGGGGAGGGGGCCCGCCCGCGCGCAACUUUCCCCGCAGGUGGCGGCGCGGGGCCGGGGCCGGACGCCUGACGCAAGAUGGCUGUGCUCGGCGCGCCCGACAACAAUGCGCCGCCGCCGCCGCCCGGGCCGCCGCCGCCGCCGCCGCGCCAGCCCAGCGCCGGGACCUCCGGGGCCGCGGCGCCCGCCCGCCUGCCUCACCCGCGGCCGGGGCGGCGCCUGGGGACUGGCCGGUUCCCGUCCUCGGGGCGCCGGCAGGGUGGGUGCCCGGCCCCGGGAUGGUCCCGCCGCGGUGCGCGGCUCCGGGGGACGGCGGGGGCGCUGCGGGGCGCUCCCGGCGCCGGCAUCUCAGCCGCGGACGGCGUCCCGAGCGGUCGGACGGGGGAAGAGUCGCCCAAGGUCACUUGAGUCCGGGGCCGGCCCGGGAGCCGCCGCGGGGCUCCGCGCCUCCGGCGUCCGCCCUGACUCCCUGGGCCCGGGCCGCCUGCAGCCGCCCCCGGAGGGGAGAGCCCCGUAG
RNAcentral lists this long non-coding RNA (1086 nucleotides) under Canis lupus familiaris (dog). RNAcentral's name for it is "lncRNA (ENSCAFG00000059236.1, ENSCAFG00845008929.1)". Lineage: Eukaryota; Metazoa; Chordata; Mammalia; Carnivora; Canidae. The record is from RNAcentral.